CAGUCGCCGCGGGAAUACGAAGGGGGCUAGCGUUGCUCGGAAUCACUGGGCGUAAAGGGUGCGUAGGCGGGUCUUUAAGUCAGGGGUGAAAUCCUGGAGCUCAACUCCAGAACUGCCUUUGAUACUGAAGAUCUUGAGUAUGAGAGAGGUAUGUGGAACUCCGAGUGUAGAGGUGAAAUUCGUAGAUAUUCGGAAGAACACCAGUGGCGAAGGCGACAUACUGGCUCAUUACUGACGCUGAGGCUCGAAAGCGUGGGGAGCAAACAGGAUUAGAUACCCGCGUAGUCCCUGUCUCUUAUAC
This 301-nucleotide ribosomal RNA is filed under the name uncultured bacterium. RNAcentral describes it as "partial 16S ribosomal RNA". It matches the Rfam family "Bacterial small subunit ribosomal RNA", at positions 509 to 807 of the family's 1533-position model. The record is from RNAcentral.